UGUAGCUAAGUGCCUAAUACAGAGUAGCAUGAGAUCAUAAGAUGUUACUCUGUAUUAGGCACUUAGCUACA
This 71-nucleotide microRNA precursor is filed under the name Bos taurus (domestic cattle). RNAcentral describes it as "microRNA bta-mir-2319b precursor". It matches the Rfam family "mir-2319 microRNA precursor family". RNAcentral also lists the same sequence under 2 other names. Lineage: Eukaryota; Metazoa; Chordata; Mammalia; Artiodactyla; Bovidae. The record is from miRBase by way of RNAcentral.